GAGGAGGGGGUUCUCCCCCGCUCGGAGCGCGCGGCUGGGGAAGAAGCUGGCGGGAAGCCGGGCCGCGCGCCGAGGAAUCGAUGAUUCGGCCUGUGGGCCGGGUCACUGCGGCGGGGCCCGGGGAGCGCCGAUAGCAUGGAUAGGCUCAGAGGGGCGCAGGGUUUUGGCGGCUUCCCGAGUUCCCCUCGCCGACCGCCAUGUCACAUCUUACGGAAGAGGCGGGGGCUGCCGCGGAGAGGAUAUUUUUUGUUUUGUUUUGUUUUCACAAGAAUCACCUGGAUGCUUCUAAAGAGGAUGUCUACCAGACCCCAUGCCGCACUAAUUAGCUCAGAAGUGGGAACCCUUCAUAAGAUGUAAGCUACUAUACCAGCACUAUGCCUGCCUACCUGCUGCCACAUUCCUUGUCAUGAUAACCAUGGACUAAGCCUCUGAAACUCAUCCAGGCACUGAAGCUCUGGAAGCCCAGCGAGGACAACUCAGACUCAGGAGACAGAGGACUCUGUAGAAGAGGUGUUCCAGGGCCUGGGUGCCACCAGCCAGCUCCGCUAGAAGAAUGCUGUGAGAACAGGCUGGCACUGAGCUGGAGUGGCCAUCGUCACAAGGGUACCACCUGAAGGGUGGGCAGAGGGCCUCGGGGAGGAGCCACAUACUCUUCCUCCCUGAGCAGCCGCAGCAGGAUGUUUUUCUUAUUCUUGGGCCAGCUGUAAACAUGAGUGUUCUGAAGCCAGGUCGGCACAUGCUCCUGUGGAAGAGAGGGCAGGAACAAGGGUCACGGAAGGGAGCGAAGCCUGGAUUCCAGAUCCAGGGCUCAGUUCUGAACAGCUCUGGAUGCCUCCGUAGGUGUUCCCACCAGGCUGUCUUGGGAGCUGCUGGUUUGCUUUUGGAGAGUAUAGCACACGAAGCACUUUUGGCUUCUGGUGCAAGCUGUGUAUCUCAUUAUGGAAGCCAUAUGUGUGCAGCGUUUUCCGUCAGUCUCCCAGGCUACCUGCCCUUUGCAUGCCAUGUGCUUUUCACCACCUCACAUGAAAGGGGUAGGACUGAGGUCACGCUGAAUGAUGUGAAUUCCCCUGGGGCUUUGGGGGAAGGAUGCCAGGGCUGUGGGCUUAAUCUAAUUCAUGAUUCUUUCACUUCAAACUGAAGGAAUAAAACAGAGCUCAGAGCUGUGAGCCUGGGGUUCCACCAGCCAGUCACCCUCAGGACAGCCCUCAGGACUGUCCGUGUGGAGCACAUAUUCUGGUGAGGAGAGACCAUGAGAAGCUCAGCAGCAACCAGAAUCAAAAUCUGGAAUUCUGCUGUCAGAGGAGGAGUGUGCAGCAUCUAGGAGGAUGCUUCGGAAGAACCACACAGUUAUAGAAGUUGCUAGGCAUGUAUGUUCAAAAGCAACAGUGUCAGAGUGUCCAGAACAGCAAUUAAGUAAGUCAGUGGGAAAUGGGGAAAUGUCACAGGUUUUAAAACUAGAGAAAUAGAGAUUGGAGUUCCCAGAUGGCAGAGAAGAAGGUGGAUAGUAUAGAGUUCAGAGGAGGGUGAGACCAAUAAAGAGAUUUGCCAGUUAAUAACUGCAUUUAGUCCCCGGACAAGCCAGGGCCAGCAAGGAUGAGGGGUCCUUUCAUAUGUAUUGUGCAUUGUUCGACCUUAUGCGUCCAGUCCACAAAUACUGGUGUCUUAGUUUGGGUUUCCAUUGCUAUGACAUGACACCAUGACCAAAGCAAUUCUUUUUUUUGUUUGUUUGUUUGUUUGUUUGUUUGUUUUGUUUGUUUUGUUUUGUUUUGAGAGAGGGUUUCUCUGUAUAGCCCUGGCUGUCCUGGAACUCACUUUGUAGACCAGGCUGGCCUCGAACUCAGAAAUCCACCUGCCUCUGCCUCCCAAGUGCUGGGAUUAAAGGUGUGCGCCACCACUGCCCAGCUCCAAAGCAGCUCUUAUUUUAUAUAUAUAUACAUAUUUUUUUUAUUACGUAUUUUCCUCAAUUACAUUUCCAAUGCUAUCCCAAAAGUCCCCCAUACCCUCCCCCCCACUUCCCUACCCACCCAUUCCCACUUUUUGGCCCUGGCAUUCCCCUGUACUGGGGCAUAUAAAGUUUGCGUGUCCAGUGGGCCUCUCUUUCCAGUGAUGGCUUACUAGGCCAUCUUUUGAUACAUAUGCAGCUAGAGUCAAGAGCUCUGGGGUACUGGUUAGUUCAUAAUGUUGUUGCACCUACAGGGUUGCAGAUCUCUUUAGCUCCUUGGUUGCUUUCUCUAGCUCCUCCAUUGGGGGCCCUGUGAUCCAUCCAAUAGCUGACUGUGAGCAUCCACUUCUGUGUUUGCUAGGCCCCAGCAUAGUCUCACAAGAGACAGCUAUAUCAGGGUCCUUUCAGCAAACGCUUGCUAGUGUAUGCAAUGGUGUCAUCGUUUGGAGGCUAGUUAUGGGAUGGAUCCCUGGAUAUGGCAAUCUCUAGAUGGUCCAUCCUUUUAUCUCAGCUCCAAACUUUGUCUCUGUAACUCCUUCCAUGGGUGAUUGUUUCCAAUUCUAAGAAGGGGCAAAGUGUCCACACUUUGGUCUUCGUUCUUCUUCAGUUUCAUGUGUUUUACAAAUUGUCUCUUAUAUCUAGGGUAUACUAAGUUUCUGGGCUAAUAUCCACUUAUCAGUGAGUACGUAUUAUUUGAGUUCUUUUGUGAUUGUGUUACCUCACUCAGGAUGAUGCCCUCCAGGUCCAACCAUUUGCCUAGGAAUUUCAUAAAUUCAUUCUUUUUAAUAGCUGAGUAGUACUCCAUUGUGUAAAUGUACCACAUUUUUUUGUAUCCAUUCCUCUGUUGAGGGGCAUCUGGGUUCUUUCCAGCUUCUGGCUAUUAUAAAUAAGGCUGCUAUGAA
Molecule: long non-coding RNA, 2844 nt
Filed under: Mus musculus (house mouse)
Lineage: Eukaryota; Metazoa; Chordata; Mammalia; Rodentia; Muridae
Description: RIKEN cDNA E130307A14 gene
Source: RNAcentral